Molecule: ribosomal RNA, 123 nt
Organism: Nomascus leucogenys (northern white-cheeked gibbon)
Lineage: Eukaryota; Metazoa; Chordata; Mammalia; Primates; Hylobatidae
Source: Ensembl
GUCUAUGGCCAUUCCACCCUGAAUGCACCUGAUCCUGUCUGAUCUCAGAAGCUAAGCAGGGUUGGGCCUGGUUAGUACUUGGAUGGGAGAAAUAUUGAUUUUUGAAUGCUGAUCUUGUAUCCU